GCGUCCGUAGCUCAGCGGCAGCAGCGCGGUCUCGACACGGCCGAGGUCGGCGGUUCGAUACCGCCCGGGCGCACCA
Molecule: transfer RNA, 76 nt
Filed under: Rhodopseudomonas sp. BR0C11
Lineage: Bacteria; Pseudomonadati; Pseudomonadota; Alphaproteobacteria; Hyphomicrobiales; Nitrobacteraceae
Description: tRNA-Val
Rfam family: tRNA
About the family: Transfer RNA (tRNA) molecules are approximately 80 nucleotides in length. Their secondary structure includes four short double-helical elements and three loops (D, anti-codon, and T loops).
Source: RNAcentral